Long non-coding RNA from Cyprinus carpio carpio, 399 nucleotides. The record is from Ensembl. NCBI's taxonomy places the organism in Eukaryota, Metazoa, Chordata, Actinopteri, Cypriniformes, Cyprinidae.
GUUUUGAUUAACCCUUUAAUUGCCGAAUCCUUAAAACCAGACUGCCAUAGAGUUACUGUAAAUGCAUGUGCUCGCUGGGCACAGUUUUCCUGAUGCCACCGGGGCGGCGUUUGCACUGAUGGCUUGAGCCCGCCAUCGCUGCUUGCAGCUAUAUUUAGGGCCCGAGCACCGAUGGUGCGUAGGCACCUAUUGAAACCGUUGGCGUUAUUAUUAGGGGCCAAGCACCGAAGGUGCGUAGGCACCUAUUGUAUCCGUUGGCGUUAUUCUUCUUCUUCUUCUUCUUCUUCUUCUUCUUCUUCUUCUUCUUCUUCUUCUUCUUCCGCCGCAAGUCUAUGGCAGCCCAUAGAACCGAUUGCGGGAAAGUUGUAUAAUUUGGCACACUGGUAGAGGACAGUCCCA